AACGAACGCUGGCGGCAUGCCUAACACAUGCAAGUCGAACGAGACCUUCGGGUCUAGUGGCGCACGGGUGCGUAACGCGUGGGAACCUGCCCUUAGGUUCGGAAUAACUCCCCGAAAGGGGUGCUAAUACCGGAUAAUGUCUUCGGACCAAAGAUUUAUCGCCUUUGGAUGGGCCCGCGUUGGAUUAGCUAGUUGGUAGGGUAAAAGCCUACCAAGGCGACGAUCCAUAGCUGGUCUGAGAGGAUGAGCAGCCACACUGGGACUGAGACACGGCCCAGACUCCUAUGGGAGGCAGCAGUGGGUAAUAUUGGACUAUGGGCUGAAGCCUGAUCCAGCAAUGCCGCGUGAGUGAUUAAGGCCUUAGGGUUGUAAAGCUCUUUUACCCGGGAUGAUAAUGACAGUACCGGGAGAAUAAGCUCCGGCUAACUCCGUG
RNAcentral lists this ribosomal RNA (433 nucleotides) under uncultured bacterium. Its description in RNAcentral is "partial 16S ribosomal RNA". It matches the Rfam family "Bacterial small subunit ribosomal RNA", at positions 29 to 507 of the family's 1533-position model. The record is from RNAcentral.